Molecule: non-coding RNA, 463 nt
Organism: Bemisia tabaci
Lineage: Eukaryota; Metazoa; Arthropoda; Insecta; Hemiptera; Aleyrodidae
Source: RefSeq, a predicted model, not a curated record
GCUCCGCGCGACUGCGCCAGUGCUGCUCCCUCUGCUCCUACAGUGAACGCGUAUUAUCGAGUGAUCGCUCCGCUGUUCCCGAUUUUGUUCUGUGUCAUCUGUGCCAUUUCUCUAGUGAUUUUUCUCCAUGUCGGCCUUGUUUGCCUUACUUGAGAUUUAGUUGUUGGAAUUACUACGCGUCCGUCCGUCCUAGUAAAUUUCGUCGUUGUGGUGAAAUUUGGUUUAUUAGGUCACCUUUGUGUUGUGCUUUGUUGUUGGUAUUUUUACCCGAAGUAGUCCGAAUUCGCUUUCAAUCGGAAUACUUAAGUACCUCUGAAUAGUUUUAUUUUGAAGUGAUAUUAUUAUUUUCGUCAGUUCCUGACCCAACUAUCACCUCUGUCGUAACCGUGACACUUUCUCUCCAUCAAUCACUUCCUGCUCCCUAAAGAUUUUCUUGGCGGAGCUCCGAGUCAAAGAACCCAAA